UUCCACUUAGGAAGAGUGAGAUCAAGCUGUAACCUUCUUUUGUUUAUAAGACAUACUUGGGAUGACCACACUGGUGAAUAAACUGGAAGUGUGAUGCAAGACCAUUUCAUCAGGUCUAAUUUCUAUAAGAGGAAAAACGAAUAUUCCUACUGGGCUGUGACAACAAAUGAAUAAAUUCAGAAGAGAUGCAUCAUCCUUCUAAAUGUAUCGAGGUGCAGAAAGCCUGGAAUGGGUGUGGUGGAGCUGAGAGCACCAGCCACAGUAACCAGUAGAACCAGUUCUUUUCUAUAUAGCCUGGGAAAUCCUGCCUUCAAAGACAUGAGUUGACUGCUUUUACUAAAAUAUCCAGCUCACAUUCAGACAGAGAAAACAAGGACCAGUUUCAGCAGCUGCUGCUAGUGGGCCAGAGUAUCCACAGCACAAAUACACUUGUUUUGCGUGUGUUCU
Long non-coding RNA from Vidua chalybeata, 447 nucleotides. RefSeq lists it as uncharacterized. The transcript has 4 exons. Lineage: Eukaryota; Metazoa; Chordata; Aves; Passeriformes; Viduidae. The record is from RefSeq and is a predicted model, not a curated record.